AAAAUUCUUCUUCCUCCACAGGCGUCGGCGAGCCUACUGCAAGAGGGUGGUGGUACCCAGUGUUCUCGGUCCAGGACACAAGAGAUGGGCAGAACCUCGAGGUCUAACACAUACCAGAGAUCUGAACAGAGAGCAGACUUCACAGUACAUGGUGAAACACUAGCUGCACUUCCUGCAGGAGAAGAGGAAGCCUUCUACUGCUGCAUGGGCUCCUCACUGAUGCAGGAGGAGGAGGAGGAGGAGAGGGAAAGGAAGUCUGCAGUGAAACCAACCACUGAUCACAGAUCGCAGGUACUGUGGCUUCAGUCUCCGGUCCCCCUACUUCCACAAUUAAGGACUUUUCUGUAGC
Molecule: long non-coding RNA, 349 nt
Filed under: Chinchilla lanigera (long-tailed chinchilla)
Lineage: Eukaryota; Metazoa; Chordata; Mammalia; Rodentia; Chinchillidae
Description: lncRNA (ENSCLAG00000026440.1)
Source: RNAcentral